UGACGAGUUUGAUCCUGGCUCAGAGUGAACGCUGGCGGCGUGCCUAACACAUGCAAGUCGAACGAUGAAGAGCAGCUUGCUGCUCGGAUUAGUGGCGCACGGGUGAGUAAUGCAUAGAUAAUGUGCCCCUUAGUUCGGGAUAGCCACUGGAAACGGUGAUUAAUACCGGAUACUCCUUCUUGCCUCAAGGUAAGUCGGGAAAGUUUUUCGCUAAGGGAUCAGUCUAUGUUCCAUCAGGUAGUUGGUGAGGUAAUGGCUCACCAAGCCUAUGACGGAUAUCUGGUUUGAGAGGAUGAUCAGACACACUGGAACUGAGACACGGUCCAGACUCCUACGGGGAGCAGCAGUGA
This 350-nucleotide ribosomal RNA is filed under the name uncultured Helicobacteraceae bacterium. RNAcentral's name for it is "bacterial SSU rRNA". It matches the Rfam family "Bacterial small subunit ribosomal RNA", at positions 1 to 357 of the family's 1533-position model. Lineage: Bacteria; Pseudomonadati; Campylobacterota; Epsilonproteobacteria; Campylobacterales; Helicobacteraceae. The record is from RNAcentral.